RNAcentral lists this ribosomal RNA (468 nucleotides) under uncultured bacterium. RNAcentral's name for it is "partial 16S ribosomal RNA". It matches the Rfam family "Bacterial small subunit ribosomal RNA", at positions 28 to 507 of the family's 1533-position model. The record is from RNAcentral.
GACGAACGCUGGCGGCGUGCUUAACACAUGCAAGUCGAACGGACAGGCCCUGCUUUUGUGGGGUGCUCGAGUGGCGAACGGGUGAGUAACACGUGAGUAACCUGCCCUUGACUUUGGGAUAACUUCAGGAAACUGGGGCUAAUACCGGAUAGGAGCUCCUGCUGCAUGGUGGGGGUUGGAAAGUUUCGGCGGUUGGGGCUGGACUCGCGGCUUAUCAGCUUGUUGGUGGGGUAGUGGCUUACCAAGGCUUUGACGGGUAGCCGGCCUGAGAGGGUGACCGGCCACAUUGGGACUGAGAGACGGCGCAGACUCCUACGGGAGGCAGCAGUGGGGAAUAUUGCACAAUGGGCGGAAGCCUGAUGCAGCAACGCCGCGUGCGGGAUGACGGCCUUCGGGUGGUAAACCGCUUUCGCCUGUGACGAAGCGUGAGUGACGGUAAUGGGUAAAGAAGCACCGGCUAACUACGUG